Falco peregrinus (peregrine falcon) is the source of this 2460-nucleotide long non-coding RNA. RefSeq lists it as uncharacterized. The transcript is spliced from 3 exons. The record is from RefSeq and is a predicted model, not a curated record. Lineage: Eukaryota; Metazoa; Chordata; Aves; Falconiformes; Falconidae.
UAGAUCUCAGACUGAUUGCUUAUACAUCUGCUGAGUGCUGCCACUCCCAUAGCUUAGAUGGCAUUUUUCACACGAGAGGUAUUUAUGCAGUUUCAGAUGAGGUCAGAAGGCAUCCUCCAAAACCAUCCUUCUUUAAUGUGGCUCAAGAUACCUUCAGCCGUGGCUGUUGAGUUUCGCUACAGAGGGUCCAUAUGCCCUGUGGGAGAGAGCCGUGGCUUGUCCCCUGCAGCUGCUGGUGGCCCUACUCACUCAGGAUGUGUCUCCCUGAUAACAAAAGCGGGUUGCUAGCCUGGCUCACUUACUCAGGGAUGUAAGCCUGGUGUCCAGCUGUGAGGUGGACUGACAUGGAGUGCUGAUUCAUAAUGAACAGUGGAAGACCACAGCUCUGCCCAGACAUGCUGGCCCUCUUCCCUGCAUCCCAUGGGCUGCUCCUACCAGCACAGCAGCCUCCCUGUCACAGCUGUGAAUCACAGCUUGAGUUGCUUGUAUCUGCAUGGCCUUUUAGAGCAUAGUUUCUGGGUGAGCUGGCUCCGUCUCUGCUGGACUUUCCUCCCCCAGAAAGCCAGACACACUUGGUGUCUCCUUAGGCUACAGCAAGGGUCAAUAUAUGUUAUCAAUGUAUAUAAUCACAGAGCCUGUGCUCAAGUCCUGACUUAACCUGACAAGACCAAGGAAACCUGAAAUAUGACUCUGGUAUUAAUAACAGGUUGUAGUAAUAAUAAUGAUGAUGUGACCUGAAAUAUCUAAAUGGUCCUGCCGGGUUUUAUGUAUUGAUUGCUUCAGACUUUUUUUAAAGCCACAGAUGCACGGGUGGGAAAAUAAUCUCUUAAACAUAACAGACAGAUAGAUUUCCAUAUAGAGCUUUACUCUUCACAGCUGGCAGAAGGUAUGAAUCAUACAAGAUUAUCAUGGCCAAUUAUAAUAUUACAUCAGUUGGAGAAUGGCUCAUUGGUAUACCUGGUUUGCAAAGAGAAACACGUCAGCACAUGAAUGCAAUUUUAAGUGAAGAAUUGAUUGAAUAUGGCUUUAGGAGACUCUGAAGAAGUUUUCUAUCAAUGCUUAAAAGUAUUGAUCUGCAUAUUCAAAAGAUGAUAAUGAGUUCAGAGAGAGAGUGUUCCUUUUUUGGGUAAUUUAGAUAACAAUUUUGAGUUUAAAAGCAUUACUAUUCAGUAUUCUCCAAAAAUCUAAUACUAAGCUUGUUGAAUAAUGCAUUUCUUAAAAAAAAAUAAUCAGGAUGUCUCAAAAACAUUCGAACUUAGAAUUCUUAGGAUUUUUUAAAGUGUUAUUUCAGAGCCAGCAUACAAACAGGUUCAGCCCUCUGAAGAUGAUGGAUGCUUACGAAUCCCUGAUUGGUUUUAGCCUGCAAAUACAUGACCUUCUUUUGUUCAGUAUAAUGGCUAGAUCAUAAAGUUAUAAACCAGCAAUAUAUGAAAAAAAAUAUUUACAGUGCAGUCAAAGGUAUGACCACAGUUGAGUGAACUUAACCUGCUGAAUCCAGCUGCCACCUCUUAGUGUGGUGAAGAAGACAUUUUUCAUGGGCUCUACAAACCCACUACAGUUUUUGGGGAAGUUUUUGGACUGAAAGCCCAAACCCUGUGCUGAAAGCUGGAAGAUCCCAGAAGACACUGUCUGAGAGAAAAACUGAAGAACCAGAAAGGAACAAAGAGCUAAUCCUAUUGAGCUCUCACUGUAGAAGGUGAUGAGCUGCUGUGGCACCCAAAGGCAGCUGUGCUUUGCACCCUGGCUCUGGCUGAAAACAUUUUUUCCACAAGAAAAGGAAAAAAGCCUUGAUAAGCAGGUUAUGACCUUGUGCCAGCCUUUCUCUCUGCAACCAAAGAGGUCAGUAUACUGACACCUCCUUGACCUCAUAAGCCUGGAGUAAUAGUUUCCUAAACCUGCUUCAGGCCAUAACAGCUUUUUCUGGCAUUGUUGAUUCCUUGUGCAUAAUUCUCAUAACCUGUCAUCUGGAAUUAGGUCUUGUUUUCAGUUAAAAAUAGCAUAUUUUGUCACAUAAAUUGUGUUUUCAAAUGUUUCAAAUUUUGGGUUAAAAAUAUCUCACCCAAACCCCUGGCUUUAAAGACAUCAUAGGAAAUUGUAUAUGCACCAAGAUGUGUUAAUAAAAUAUUAUCUGGACAAAGCAGCUGGAAGACAAACAGAACUAGACAGUUGCAAUUACUUUCCCUGCCAAAACUCACUCUCAAGUUCAGUAGUCAGGUAAGAUCAUUCCUUUAGGUCCCACAGGUCAUUCCUAUGGCUGUAUCUGGAUAUGUCAAAGCGUUUGCAAAUGCAAUUGUAAGACAAGACCAUAUCAGUUUUGCUAGAUAGAGAAUCUUUGUCUCCAGUAAAUAUCACCUCAUUUGGAAAAAAGCCCACUCUUUUCUCUUCAGUGCUGCUAUCACUACUAGGUGAUUGUCAUGAUGGACAACACUUAUUUCAGAACAACUCAGCAUUUUGCUCAAU